This 365-nucleotide ribosomal RNA is filed under the name uncultured bacterium. RNAcentral describes it as "bacterial SSU rRNA". It matches the Rfam family "Bacterial small subunit ribosomal RNA", at positions 28 to 394 of the family's 1533-position model. The record is from RNAcentral.
GACGAACGCUGGCGGCGUGCUUAACACAUGCAAGUCGAACGGUGACGAGGAGCUUGCUCCUCCGAUCAGUGCGAACGGGUGAGUAACACGUGAGUAACCUGCCCGGACUCUGGGAUAACAGUUGGAAACAGCUGCUAAUACCGGAUACGAGACGGAGAGGCAUCUCUACCGUCUGGAAAGUUCUUCGGGUCCGGGAUGGACUCGCGGCCUAAUCAGCUAGUUGGUGAGGUAACGGCUCACCAAGGCGACGACGGUAGCCGGCCGUGAGAGGCGACCGGCCACACUGGGACUGAGACACGGCCCAGACUCCUACGGAGGCAGCAGUGGGGAAUAAUUGCACAAUGGGCGAAAGCCUGAUGCAGCGA